UACGUAGGGUGCAAGCGUUGUCCGGAAUUAUUGGGCGUAAAGAGCUCGUAGGCGGUCUGUCGCGUCGGCUGUGAAAACCCGAGGCUCAACCUCGGGCCUGCAGUCGAUACGGGCAAACUAGAGUACUGCAGGGGAGACUGGAAUUCCUGGUGUAGCGGUGAAAUGCGCAGAUAUCAGGAGGAACACCGGUGGCGAAGGCGGGUCUCUGGGCCGUAACUGACGCUGAGGAGCGAAAGCGUGGGGAGCGAACAGG
RNAcentral lists this ribosomal RNA (253 nucleotides) under uncultured bacterium. Its description in RNAcentral is "partial 16S ribosomal RNA". It matches the Rfam family "Bacterial small subunit ribosomal RNA", at positions 524 to 776 of the family's 1533-position model. The record is from RNAcentral.